RNAcentral lists this non-coding RNA (28 nucleotides) under Homo sapiens (human). The record is from RNAcentral. Lineage: Eukaryota; Metazoa; Chordata; Mammalia; Primates; Hominidae.
UGCCAAACCUAGGGACACACUGGUGGAU